GGAGGGUGCGAGCGUUGUUCGGAUUUACUGGGCGUACAGGGAGCGUAGGCGGUUGGAUAAGCCCUCCGUGAAAUCUCCAGGCUUAACCUGGAAAGUGCAGAGGGGACUGUUCAGCUAGAGGAUGGGAGAGGAGCGCGGAAUUCCCGGUGUAGCGGUGAAAUGCGUAGAGAUCGGGAGGAAGGCCGGUGGCGAAGGCGGCGCUCUGGAACAUUUCUGACGCUGAGGCUCGAAAGCGUGGGGAGCAAACAGGAUUAGAUACCCUGGUAGUCCACGCCUUAAACGAUGGAUACUAAGUGUCGGCGGGUUACCGCCGGUGCCGCAGCUAACGCAGUAAGUAUCCCGCCUGGGAAGUACGGCCGCAAGGUUG
RNAcentral lists this ribosomal RNA (367 nucleotides) under uncultured bacterium. Its description in RNAcentral is "bacterial SSU rRNA". It matches the Rfam family "Bacterial small subunit ribosomal RNA", at positions 527 to 896 of the family's 1533-position model. The record is from RNAcentral.